This 303-nucleotide ribosomal RNA is filed under the name Triticum aestivum (bread wheat). RNAcentral's name for it is "partial small subunit ribosomal RNA". Lineage: Eukaryota; Viridiplantae; Streptophyta; Magnoliopsida; Poales; Poaceae. The record is from RNAcentral.
AUGGCCAAUGGAAAAUUAAUACCCUGCACUCAAGAACUGUUGAAUGGUAAGUGGACUUGUGGGGGUCAUAAAUUUGUUAGUAAUUUCAAGGUUUUCCCCUUGGGUUACUAUGAUGGUAUUCUGGGCAUUGAUUGGCUAGCUGCUCACAGCCCUAUGCAAGUUGACUGGGCUGCUCACUUGCUUUCUUUUGAGCUUGAUAACACCACAGUUACUCUGCUUGGGGAAGAUGUUGUUCCACCAUUGUGUGCAUUGCUUUAUUUUGCUUUCUUUUGUGUGCAUUGCUAUAAAAAAAGGAUCCGAUAA